UAAGUCAGUAGUGAAAGCGUGCGGCUCAACCGCAUAAACAUUACUGAAACUGCUAAGCUAGAGGAUGAGAGAGGUUAUUGGAAUUCCUAGUGUAGGAGUGAAAUCCGUAGAUAUUAGGAGGAACACCGAUGGCGGUAGGCAGGUGACUGGACCAUAACUGACACUAAGGCACGAAAGCGUGGUAGCAAACGGGAUUAGAUACCCGGUAGUCCACGCCCUAAACGAUGGAUGCUA
This 234-nucleotide ribosomal RNA is filed under the name uncultured Candidatus Saccharibacteria bacterium. Its description in RNAcentral is "partial 16S ribosomal RNA". It matches the Rfam family "Bacterial small subunit ribosomal RNA", at positions 584 to 818 of the family's 1533-position model. Lineage: Bacteria; Candidatus Saccharimonadota. The record is from RNAcentral.